Molecule: ribosomal RNA, 353 nt
Filed under: uncultured Geobacteraceae bacterium
Lineage: Bacteria; Pseudomonadati; Thermodesulfobacteriota; Desulfuromonadia; Geobacterales; Geobacteraceae
Description: bacterial SSU rRNA
Rfam family: Bacterial small subunit ribosomal RNA
Source: RNAcentral
GGAAGCACCGGCUAACUCCGUGCCAGCAGCCGCGGUAAUACGGGGGGUGCAAGCGUUGUUCGGAAUUAUUGGGCGUAAAGCGCGUGUAGGCGGUCUGAUUAGUCUGAUGUGAAAGCCCUGGGCUCAACCCAGGAAGUGCAUUGGAUACUGUCAGACUUGAAUACGGGAGAGGGUAGUGGAAUUCCUAGUGUAGGAGUGAAAUCCGUAGAUAUUAGGAGGAACACCGGUGGCGAAGGCGGCUACCUGGACCGAUAUUGACGCUGAGACGCGAAAGCGUGGGUAGCAAACAGGAUUAGAUACCCUGGUAGUCCACGCCGUAAACGAUGAGAMCUAGGUGUMACGGGACCSKGACC